RNAcentral lists this ribosomal RNA (406 nucleotides) under uncultured bacterium. RNAcentral describes it as "partial 16S ribosomal RNA". It matches the Rfam family "Bacterial small subunit ribosomal RNA", at positions 28 to 526 of the family's 1533-position model. The record is from RNAcentral.
GAUGAACGCUGGCGGCAGGCCUAACACAUGCAAGUCGAACGAGUGGCGGACGGGUGAGUCAUGUCUGGGAAACUGCCUGCUGGAGGGGGAUAACUACUGGAAACGGUAGCUAAUACCGCAUACCAUCGGAUGUGCCCAGAUGGGAUUAGCUAGUAGGUGGGGUAACGGUACACCUAGGCGACGAUCCCUAGCUGGUCUGAGAGGAUGACCAGCCACACGGGAACUGCGACGCGGUCCAGACUCCUACGGUAGGCAGCAGUGGGGAAUAGUGCGCAGUGGGCGCAAGCCUGAUGCAGCCGUGCCGAGUGUAUGAAGAAGGCCUUGGGGUUGUAAAGUACUUUCAGCGGGGAGGCGUUACCCGCAGAAGAAGCACCGGCUAACUCCGUGCCAGCAGCCGCGGUAAUAC